AAUAAAUAAUAAUAAAAUCCGGUUAAAAGACAGAAUACUAACUCAACCUCAGAAAAUAUACUUACUUGACUUAUUUAAUAAAAUCAUAAUUAGAGAAGACCAAUAUGAAACUCUAAUAACAUAUUUCAUCGAUAAGAGCGAAGAAUCGCACCACAAAAUGUACAUAUAAUAGCUCUCCAAUUUUUCCAAUAAAAGGGAACAUAACAAAACCGUGUAGCAGUCUUCAUGUCUGCUACACUAGCUCCGCCGCCGCAACGUGAACAUGUUCCGGCGGCGGGUUUGCUCUUACACACCUGUUUUGUUUGAUCUACUAAGAAACAAAAACAGACCAUCUUUUUUUUUUUCUUAUAAUGUUUUG
RNAcentral lists this unclassified non-coding RNA (358 nucleotides) under Hevea brasiliensis (rubber tree). The record is from RNAcentral. Lineage: Eukaryota; Viridiplantae; Streptophyta; Magnoliopsida; Malpighiales; Euphorbiaceae.